RNAcentral lists this ribosomal RNA (253 nucleotides) under uncultured bacterium. RNAcentral describes it as "partial 16S ribosomal RNA". It matches the Rfam family "Bacterial small subunit ribosomal RNA", at positions 524 to 776 of the family's 1533-position model. The record is from RNAcentral.
UACGUAGGGUGCAAGCGUUGUCCGGAAUUAUUGGGCGUAAAGAGCUCGUAGGCGGUUUGUCGCGUCUGCUGUGAAAACUCGGGGCUUAACUCCGGGCCUGCAGUGGGUACGGGCAGACUAGAGUGCGGUAGGGGAGACUGGAAUUCCUGGUGUAGCGGUGAAAUGCGCAGAUAUCAGGAGGAAUACCGGUGGCGAAGGCGGCAUCCUGGACCGACAUUGACGCUGAGGAGCGAAAGCGUGGGGAGCAAACAGG